RNAcentral lists this ribosomal RNA (253 nucleotides) under uncultured bacterium. Its description in RNAcentral is "partial 16S ribosomal RNA". It matches the Rfam family "Bacterial small subunit ribosomal RNA", at positions 524 to 776 of the family's 1533-position model. The record is from RNAcentral.
UACGAAGGGGGCUAGCGUUGCUCGGAAUCACUGGGCGUAAAGCGCACGUAGGCGGAUUGUUAAGUCAGGGGUGAAAUCCUGGAGCUCAACUCCAGAACUGCCCUUGAUACUGAGGAUCUCGAGUUCGGGAGAGGUGAGUGGAACUGCGAGUGUAGAGGUGAAAUUCGUAGAUAUUCGCAAGAACACCAGUGGCGAAGGCGGCUCACUGGCCCGAUACUGACGCUGAGGUGCGAAAGCGUGGGGAGCAAACAGG